UGACGUCAGUCUUUUUCUCACCCACCUUCGCCACCGCCAAAUUCACUCAUUCACUUCCCCUUUAAAAGUAGCGAGUGGAAAGCGACGACAUUUGCAGAAUGGAUACAUUCCGCUGAGGAUACUUCAGCGGCGCCUCCGAAGGUUCCAUUUCGGAACGUAAUGUAGCAAAAGAGCGAGCUGCGUGUUCCGUCAACAAUGGGGAAACUGAUCAGCCCUCCCUCGGGGAACAAUGUAAAUCGCUCGCUCGCCUCUUUGGCGACGUUUGUUCUGGCCUCCGGGCUGCCACACCACCGCAAGGCGAGUCAGCCCUUCGCAUCGCCUGGACACAGCGAAGGAGAAACGCUGCUUCGCCACAACAAGCGAGCAUCGUAUAUAAACUGAAUGUCCCACUCACCAUCUGCUCCACCUACCACCUGAGAAAGGAGACUCUGGGCCAUCUACAGUACUCACUUACACAAUUCCAGUUAGGAGGACGAAUGGACGAGCUCCCAUGAGUACUGCUACUGAGCCAAUAAGCAAUAAAGAGGGGUACUGGAUGACAGGGAAAACCAAAUUUCUACACGUGGGCCACCAUAUAACACCUUCACUCAUUGUAACGUCUUAAGGUGGGUAAAAUUCAGCUGAUUAUCGUGAACUAUUUCCCCCAAGUUCUCAGUUGAUACAGUUUCAAAAUCAAGCAAAUCACUUUUUGAUUGUGAAUAAAAGUAGUUGCACUCUCAA
Molecule: non-coding RNA, 720 nt
Organism: Chiloscyllium plagiosum (whitespotted bambooshark)
Lineage: Eukaryota; Metazoa; Chordata; Chondrichthyes; Orectolobiformes; Hemiscylliidae
Source: RefSeq, a predicted model, not a curated record